RNAcentral lists this ribosomal RNA (468 nucleotides) under uncultured bacterium. RNAcentral describes it as "partial 16S ribosomal RNA". It matches the Rfam family "Bacterial small subunit ribosomal RNA", at positions 28 to 507 of the family's 1533-position model. The record is from RNAcentral.
GACGAACGCUGGCGGCGUGCUUAACACAUGCAAGUCGAACGGAACGGCCCUGUUUAUGUGGGGUGCUCGAGUGGAGACCGGGUGAGUAACCCGUGAGUUACCUGCCCCUGCCUUUGGGGUAACUUCAUGACACUGAGGCUCAUACCGGAUAGGAGCUCUUGCCGUUUGGUGGGGGUUGGAAGGUUUCGGCGGUUGGGGAUGGACUAGCGGCCUAUCAGUUUGUUGGUGUGGUAGUGGCUUACGAAGGCUUUGACGGGUAGCCGGCCUGCGAGGGGCACCGGCCACGUUGCGACUGAGAUACGGCCCAGACUCCUACGGGAGGCAGCAGUGGAGAAGAUUGCACAAUGGGCGGAACCCUGAUGCAGCAACGCCACGUGCGGGAUGACGGCCUUCGGGUUGUAUUCCGAAUUCGCCUGUGACGAAGCGUGAGUGACGGUAAUGGGUAAAGAAGCACCGGCUAACUACGUG